This 652-nucleotide ribosomal RNA is filed under the name uncultured Lachnospiraceae bacterium. Its description in RNAcentral is "bacterial SSU rRNA". It matches the Rfam family "Bacterial small subunit ribosomal RNA", at positions 65 to 726 of the family's 1533-position model. Lineage: Bacteria; Bacillati; Bacillota; Clostridia; Lachnospirales; Lachnospiraceae. The record is from RNAcentral.
UAUUUGAUUUUCUUCGGAAAUGAAGAUUUUGUGACUGAGUGGCGGACGGGUGAGUAACGCGUGGGUAACCUGCCUCAUACAGGGGGAUAACAGUUGGAAACGACUGCUAAUACCGCAUAAGCGCACAGGAUUGCAUGAUCCGGUGUGAAAAACUCCGGUGGUAUGAGAUGGACCCGCGUCUGAUUAGCCAGUUGGCAGGGUAACGGCCUACCAAAGCGACGAUCAGUAGCCGACCUGAGAGGGUGACCGGCCACAUUGGGACUGAGACACGGCCCAAACUCCUACGGGAGGCAGCAGUGGGGAAUAUUGCACAAUGGGGGAAACCCUGAUGCAGCGACGCCGCGUGAGCGAAGAAGUAUUUCGGUAUGUAAAGCUCUAUCAGCAGGGAAGAAGAAUGACGGUACCUGACUAAGAAGCACCGGCUAAAUACGUGCCAGCAGCCGCGGUAAUACGUAUGGUGCAAGCGUUAUCCGGAUUUACUGGGUGUAAAGGGAGCGCAGGCGGUGCGGCAAGUCUGAUGUGAAAGCCCGGGGCUCAACCCCGGUACUGCAUUGGAAACUGUCGUACUAGAGUGUCGGAGGGGUAAGUGGAAUUCCUAGUGUAGCGGUGAAAUGCGUAGAUAUUAGGAGGAACACCAGUGGCGAAGGCGGCU